Molecule: ribosomal RNA, 468 nt
Filed under: uncultured bacterium
Lineage: Bacteria
Description: partial 16S ribosomal RNA
Rfam family: Bacterial small subunit ribosomal RNA
Source: RNAcentral
GACGAACGCUGGCGGCGUGCUUAACACAUGCAAGUCGAACGGAAAGGCCCUGCUUUUGUGGGGUGCUCGAGUGGCGAACGGGUGAGUAACACGUGAGUAACCUGCCCUUGACUUUGGGAUAACUUCAGGAAACUGGGGCUAAUACCGGAUAGGAGCUCCUGCUGCAUGGUGGGGGUUGGAAAGUUUCGGCGGUUGGGGAUGGACUCGCGGCUUAUCAGCUUGUUGGUGGGGUAGUGGCUUACCAAGGCUUUGACGGGUAGCCGGCCUGAGAGGGUGACCGGCCACAUUGGGACUGAGAUACGGCCCAGACUCCUACGGGAGGCAGCAGUGGAGAAUAUUGCACAAUGGGCGGAAGCCUGAUGCAGCAGCGCCGCGUGCGGGAUGACGGCCUUCGGGUUGUAAACCGCUUUCGCCUGUGACGAAGCGUGAGUGACGGUAAUGGGUAAAGAAGCACCGGCUAACUACGUG